GCCACUAUGUCAUUUGUCACUUUAACAGACUCAGAGCAUAGCAGGUGGCCUGGUGGCUUUUGCCUUAGAGCCAGCGCCACAGCCCUUGCUCACUUUAGACUUUUUUGUGCUUUCUGAAUCUGGAGCUCCCCAUAGUGUUAACCAGAUAAACACCCAACUAAACGGGAGGCCGGAGGGGGAAGAGUACCAUAGUUUUCAAAACAAGUUGUCUCUGGGAGCAGGGGGCAGCCACACUGGAAUCUUAGAGUCCCUCAAGCUUGUGGGAAACUCCUGCCAGGCCAGUUUCCCGCUAGUGGAAAACUCAGUUCCGACAGGUGUCCACCCCUUGCUGAGUGGCCUCGGCUGAUUUGGGUGGGGUGGCAUUGGCGUCAUCCAGAAGGGAGUGGCCAUGCUGACAUCCUGGAAGAGGCUAGCUGGUGCCAGGUCUCGGGUCCCAUCUGUUCUGUGUCCUGGCUUCUCAAGAGUCCUUCAUGUGCUCUUUUUUAGAAUGUAAAAGAAUAUUAAUUAUAAAAUAAUAUCACAGAAAGUUUAGAAAACAGGAUAAAGGGGAGAAAAAACUGACUCAUAAUCCCUAUGUGGCAGUUCCUUUUUUUUCAUUUCCUCCUGAAGUCUUUUUUAUAUGCAUAUUUUAUUGCCUGGUUUUUAUAUUUGUGAAUAUUUCAUUCCAUGUAUACUUUUCUCAGUUAUCAUUAUACCACAAGCUUUUACCCAUAUCUUGUUUUUUUCCCCCCCAGCUUUACUGAGAUAUAAUUGGCAUAUAACUCCUUACAUCUUGUGCUUAAAGUUUCUGGUAGGGGUGUAAUAUUUCUUUUGAGGAUUGAUUGAUUGAUUGAUUUUUCUUAUAUAUUUCAUGAAGUGAUCCCCCCAAUUAUGCUAGCACGCAUCUAGCACUACACACAGCCAUUACAAUAAUUCUUUUGGGGAUUUAUAAUCUACUAAUUAUUUCUCUACUUCUGGACAUGCAGAAUGCUUUUUGUGUGUGUGUUUAUAAAUAAUACUGAGAUGAACGUCUUUUUUUCUGUGUUUUGGGUUCUUUCCUUAGGAUAGCUUUGCAGGAAUGGAUCAUUAGAUGAAACCUAAGAACAUCUGUGUGGCUCUUGAAAUAUUGGAGAUUCUUCUAGUCAACCAGAAUAUUUGAAGUGACCCCAGUUCAUUCUCUAGGCCCUUGACCCUUUGAGCCAUGGUUCCAAUCCCAAAAUGUGUCUGUAAAUUGAGUCCAAAGAAACAUAAAUCCAGCCUAUGCCACUGAUAGUUUAAAAAAAGGUGGGGAGGCAGAGACCUUCGGGAGACUCGACAAGUCCAGGCUUCAGUACUGUAGCCCAAAUUCAUUCCUUCAGUCACAGGAUUCAUAAGCAUAACAUUCUUCAGAUGAAGAAAUGGAGGCUCAGAGGGGCCGGGAAGUUUGUACAGUGUCACACAGCUGGUUUUGCCCUGGUUAAACUCUGUUCUGUUAACAUUGUUCUUUCUGUUCUGGUGCUCUUUACUUCUGUAAUGAUGUGUUAAUUAUCGCUCCCGCCUACCAGACUGUUAGUCCCACCAUAUCCCCAGUGCCUGGCACUUUGUAGUAGAAUGAAUGAAUGAGCCAAACAAAAGAGCUAGUGGGUUUUAUCAGAUCAUUAAAAGGAUCUGUAAGUCAAAAAAGGUUAAGUAGGAAAGAAUGUGGGUUUGGGGUUAGAAAGAGUUUAAGUGUUGUUUCUGGUUCUGUCAUUAACAUACCAAGUGAUCAAGAAUAAGAAUCUUUAAUAUUUCUUGAGUGUUUCUGAUAUAUCAAGUUCUGUGCUAGGGAUUUUAAAUGUAUCAACUCUUUUAUUCCUCUUAACAACCUCUUGAGAUAGGACGGGUGUUAUCUCCAUUUCACAAAUGAGGAUAUUGAAACAGAGAGAGGGAGUCAAAAGCUACUGAUCAGCAGAGGCUGCUGUGGACCCAGGGGACUCCAGCCUGCCCUCCUCACCACACUCCUCUUGCGUCUCUCCAGGCGGCCUGUUUCCUCAUGGGUAAAGGGCAGGUGGAUGGAUUAAAAAUGCCCAUUGUGCAGGCUUGUCCUGUGGAGCAGGAGAGACCACAUAUGUAAAGCAUACUUCUCAGGGCAGGACCAUGUCUGUGUGUUCACCACCGUGAACCCAGAUGCUGGCGCAGUGUUGGCCCAUAGUAUGUGCUUAGUAAAUACCUUGUUGGAAGGAAGUUCAUACCCAAGAAAUGACAUUUUUUCAUUACUUGCUUGUUUCAAGCAUUGUGGAGUUCAGAACCUUAUGGGCUUGCUCUUUGGCAAUGGCCUGUAAGACUCAGACACUCAGGGACAGCCAAGUCCUCAUCCUUAGAGGGCAGGUUUGGGUUCAGGAAACUGCUGCUUGUUUUUGUGCCAAAUAUGAAUAGACUCAAAAUUCCUAGGCGAAACUUUUGAUCUGAACUGACUUAGUAAUGAGUCAGUAAGGAUACAGAUUUGUCUUUGCAUGACCCAUAAACAGGCUCUAGAGAGAAUUUCCAAAAAAGAGUACAGAAGUAUUUUGGAUCCCUAGUCUUGUCUUCGGUAUAAGCAUAUAGCCUUUCCCAGAAUAAUUACUUUGAGAAGUACUUUCAUUUGGAGAACUAAGUCCUGAAUGGUUUGUUAAAAAUAAUUAGCCUCAGUGGUUUAGGAACAAUAUAGUUGAUUCCUCGGGACAGUUUUCCUAAAACCUGACCAUACCUAGCAUUGAAUCCAUCCAAAGCAAGGAGAAGUGGAAGAAAUGUCAUCUGGGAAUUUCACUGCAGUGACAGCUAAAAACAACAAUAACAAACUAAAAUAACAAAAAAUAAACAAACUAGUUCUCAAAGUGUGGUCCGGGAACCCAUCAGGGGAUUCGUGAGAACUUUCAGAAGGUUCGCAGUGUCAGAACUAGAUAUCUUUGUGGUACUCAAAUGUCAUUUGCUUUUUUCACUGUCAUUCUCUCACAGUGGCAUUUCCCAGAGGCUAUGUAAUGUGUGAUGACAUCAUUCCUCUAGUAGUGGCUAAUGAGAGGCGUUUUUUGUUUUUUUUUUUAAAUAACAGUUUUAUUGACCUACCAUUCCAAUUCACCCAAUUCAAGUAUACAAUUAAAGUUUUUAGUACAUUUACAGAGUUGCAUGACAAUCAACAUAAUUUUAGAGUAUUUUUAUCAUUCUGAAAGGAAAAAUUGUACCCAUUAGCAGUCAUUCCUCAUUCCAGUUCUCCCAGCCUGAGGCAACCAUGAAUCUGUUUUCCAUCUCCGUAAAUUUGCCUAUUCUGGACAAUGCAUAUACGUAGAAUCAGGUUAUGUCAGAGAUGUCAGUCUUAAAACAGAGAUGUCAGUUAUUCGAUUUUAAGUCAUUUAUGUCUGGCUUCUUUCAUGUAGCAUCAUGUUUUCAAGGUUCAUCCAUGCUGUAACAUGUGUCAGUACUUCCUUUUUAUUGCUGAGUGAUAUUCAGUUUUAUGGAUAUACUACAUUUUAUUUAUCCAUUCAUCAGCUGAUGGACAUUUGGAUUGUCCUCACUUUUGGGCUAGUGUGAAUAGUGCUAUCUUAAACAUUUAUGUACAGGUUUUCAUUUCUCUUGGGUAUAUAUAUGCUAUCUCUUAUGUUGAACAUUUUUUGAAGAACUGCUAGACUUUUCCAAAGUAGCUGUACCAUUUUAUAUUCCCCUUGGGAGUGUAUGAGGGUUCCAGUUUUUCCAUAUCCUCAUCAACAUUUGUUAUCUGACUUUCUGAUUCUAGACAUCCUAGCAAGUGUGAAGUAGUAUCUCAUUGUGGUUUUGAUUUGCAUUUCCCUGAUGACUAAUGAUGUUGAACAUCUUUUCAUAUGCUUAUUCGCCAUUUGUAUAUCUUCUUCACAGGACUGUCUUUUCAGAUCAUUUGCUAAUUUUUAAAUUGGGUUAUUUGUCUUUAUAUAUUCUAGAUACAAGUUCCUAAUCAAAUAUGUGCUUUGCAAAAACUUUUCCUGUUCUGUGGGCUAUCUUUUCACUUUCUUGAUGGUUCUUUUGAAGCAUAAACACUUUUAAUUUUGAUGAUGUCUGAUUUAUCUAUUUUCUUUUGCACUUGUGUAUGUUUGUGAUUGAAAAAUUUCUCAGUUUUAAAGCACAAUGUGAUAUCACUACACAACUAUCAGUAUGGCUAAAAUAAAAAGUGGCAAUAACACCAAAUUGUGCUAAAGAUGUAGAGAAAAUGGAUCAAGCUGGUGGUAAUGUGGAAUGGUUCAGUUGCUCUAGAAAAUAAUAUGUCAGUUUCUUUCUUUUUAAAAAAACAACUUUAGUGAGAUAUAAUUCACAUUACAGUUCACCCAUUUGAAAUGUACUGGUAGAGUCUUAUAAAACUAAACACGUGCUUAUCAUGUGGCCCGCCAGUUGUCAUUUGGUAAUUUAUUCUAAAAGAAAUAAAACUUAGCUUCACACGAAAA
Molecule: long non-coding RNA, 4382 nt
Organism: Pteropus alecto (black flying fox)
Lineage: Eukaryota; Metazoa; Chordata; Mammalia; Chiroptera; Pteropodidae
Exons: 2
Source: RefSeq, a predicted model, not a curated record